Molecule: long non-coding RNA, 1276 nt
Organism: Vitis riparia (riverbank grape)
Lineage: Eukaryota; Viridiplantae; Streptophyta; Magnoliopsida; Vitales; Vitaceae
Exons: 5
Source: RefSeq, a predicted model, not a curated record
GCUUGAAAAUGACCAAACACAAUGAUUGUUUCUCCAAACAGUCAUUAGAUUUUUUUGGAGGUGCAACUUGAUGGAUAUUGGCCCACAAAAUUUGGCAUGGAUUCAACCAGAAAUGAACUGGCUUUGGUAUCAAUGGAGCAUCCAAGAUCCUCUGCAUCAAUUACAGGAGGCCCAACCCUGUUAAAUGGUUAUUGAACAGUUCAUACCUCCAAUUUUUUUUGUUGUGACACAGUGGCUUAUUAAUCACCCCAAGUUUCAGAAAAAUCCACUUUACAUCAGUGGUGACUCAUAUUCAGGCAUAAUCAUCCCCAUGGUGGUUCAAGAAAUAUAUAUCCAAUGGUAAUGAUGCAGGGAAAGAGCCAAAAAAUGAAUAUUCAACAUAUUCGAGGAAUAUGACAUGGAACUCGUAGGAGCCAACUCAGAGGAAGAUGACAUAAGUAGGAGUCGAAUAGCAGGCGCCGAAAAGCGCGUUGCAGCGAGCUCCGCUGGGAGGCAAAAUCGUCCAAUGGGAAAUCGAAAUCUCUCUUAUCCAGACAGUGACUGCCAAGAGCUCAACAGCAGAGGGCUUAAGCACUUGUCUUGAAACUGGGUUUGCGUGUCAUACUGCUGUGUUCAACCCCUAGAAACUCCCAGUUUCUACUUCACGUUUUCAUUCAAUCUCAGUUUUAGUAUUGCUUGUUUGAUUUCUCAGUGGAAGAUCCCAAUGGAUAAGGAGACUGUGAAUCCGGAAGACGGUUUCUGCGUCAGGUUUUUGAAGUGUUUGGGAAGUGCUUCUUCAAGCAAAAAAAUUGCAAACUUUAUGAUGAAAUCAGAAACUGAGUCUUUGAGGUUUUUCAAUUUGUGGGGGAACUGAUGAAUGAAAGAGAUGAGGAAAAGGGGAAGGGGAACAAUGCAUGGUUUCCAUGUUGGUUGAAUCUUGGGCUUUCCCUACUUGUGAGGGCUUAGGUUACUCUUGGCAUGUGUUCGAAUUGAAUCUGGGUUAUUUGGAUUGUUGGAAGAGAUCAUCGAUUUCAUUUGUAGGUCUUGUUUGUUGAAUGAAACCCAUUUUACUUCUUCUAAUCUUGCCAAAGCCAAGUAAACAAUCAUCACUUUUAGUAAUCUUGAUGUGAUUAAUUGUAUUCUGGCUACUGAUACGACAUCAUUGUCUUGUCCAAUUGCAGGAAUUUGGAGGAUGAAGUCUCGCUUAGCUCCUUCAGCCCAAUUGAUGGGUAGAAAAACCAUGUUCACAGUGAUUUAGUGAUGUGUUUUAUGUCUCUAAACAUUCCAGUGAGAUGCA